RNAcentral lists this long non-coding RNA (849 nucleotides) under Bos indicus x Bos taurus (hybrid cattle). RNAcentral's name for it is "lncRNA (ENSBIXG00000017241.1)". The record is from RNAcentral. Lineage: Eukaryota; Metazoa; Chordata; Mammalia; Artiodactyla; Bovidae.
GGCUGUGCAUUCUACUUGCUUUUUCUUUGCUCUCACUUCUAGCAUUAUUACCACUACCCUGGGUUUGAUGUUUAUUAUUCUCUUAGAUGUCAAAGUCAUUGAUUUAAAAAAAAAAAAAAUCUUUCGUGAUUGACCAAUACAGUCCCCAGAUUUAUGCUGCUUGAACUUCUCGACUUGACUGGCACGUAUUGACAAAUAUGAUAUCACAUGACAUUAUUUGGGGUUGUUUCUGAAGCUCUCCUAGUGUUUACUCAAUUAUUAACGGACACAUGUGUAAAGUUGGAAAGAAUGUGGACAUGUCAAGUCAGGCUCAGGGAGAACCACAGCUGACAGUUACAUGGGAUAAGCAGGUUUUGGUAUCAAAGCCCUGGAGUGUUCAGCCCUGCACGGGUCCCCCAGCCGUGACUGGUCAUGGAAGUCAGCAGGCCCAGGCUGCUGUGUGCGUGAAGGCAGUGCGCCUGUGGGAUGAUGUGAGCUACCCUGAGGUUCUCAAGGCCCAUGUUCGAGUGUGGCGGACAGCUGUGGAGGUCAGUGCCCACGUCAUUGCUUGGUGUGGAUUUAGGUACAUGCAUUUCUUUAUUGCCAGGGUCAAAGAUCAUGCUCUUUGCACAAAAGUACACAAAGAAACACAAGCACUUUCUUCUCCCUUGAGAAGGCAGGAUGCUGAUGGAGGGGACCCUUGGGAGGCCAGAACAGGUCUCUGCCAGCCGCCUCCACUCACACCAGCCUUGUAGGGGGAGAGGGACCCGAUGGUGGAUCUGGUCUCCUAUACUCACUGCAUCUCCCAUGCCUACACCAAGGACCAAACACCAUUUAUUGGUACUGAAUAAAUCUCCUUUCUGGGGGUCA